UAUUGCACAAUGGGCGCAAGCCUGAUGCAGCCAUGCCGCGUGUAUGAAGAAGGCCUUCGGGUUGUAAAGUACUUUCAGCGAGGAGGAAGGCAUUAAGGUUAAUAACCUUAGUGAUUGACGUUACUCGCAGAAGAAGCACCGGCUAACUCCGUGCCAGCAGCCGCGGUAAUACGGAGGGUGCAAGCGUUAAUCGGAAUUACUGGGCGUAAAGCGCGCGCAGGCGGUCUGUCAAGUCGGAUGUGAAAUCCCCGGGCUCAGCCUGGGAACUGCAUUCGAAACUGGCAGGCUAGAGUCUUGUAGAGGGGGGUAGAAUUCCAGGUGUAGCGGUGAAAUGCGUAGAGAUCUGGAGGAAAUACCGGUGGCGAAGGCGGCCCCCUGGACAAAGACUGACGCUCAGGUGCGAAAGCGUGGGGAGCGAACAG
This 422-nucleotide ribosomal RNA is filed under the name uncultured bacterium. RNAcentral describes it as "bacterial SSU rRNA". It matches the Rfam family "Bacterial small subunit ribosomal RNA", at positions 362 to 775 of the family's 1533-position model. The record is from RNAcentral.